CUUCCGGGUUGUAAACCUCUUUUUAGUAGGGAAGAAGCGAAAGUGACGGUACCUGCAGAAAAAGCACCGGCUAACUACGUGCCAGCAGCCGCGGUAAUACGUAGGGUGCGAGCGUUGUCCGGAAUUAUUGGGCGUAAAGAGCUCGUAGGCGGUCUGUCGCGUCUGCUGUGAAAACCCGAGGCUCAACCUCGGGCCUGCAGUGGGUACGGGCAGACUAGAGUGCGGUAGGGGAGAAUGGAAUUCCUGGUGUAGCGGUGGAAUGCGCAGAUAUCAGGAGGAACACCGAUGGCGAAGGCAGUUCUCUGGGCCGUAACUGACGCUGAGGAGCGAAAGCGUGGGGAGCGAACAGGAUUAGAUACCCUGGUAGUCCACGCCGUAAACGUUGGGCGCUAGAUGUGGGGACCAUUCCACGGUUUCCGUGUCGCAGCUAACGCAUUAAGCGCCCCGCCUGGGGAGUACGGCCGCAAGGCUAAAACUCAAAGGAAUUGACGGGGGCCCGCACAAGCGGCGGAGCAUGCGGAUUAAUUCGAUGCAACGCGAAGAACCUUACCAAGGCUUGACAUAUACGAGAACGGGCCAGAAAUGGUCAACUCUUUUGGACACUCGUAAACAGGGUGGUGCAUGGGUUGUCGUCAGCUCCGUGUCGUGAGAAUGUUGGGGUA
Molecule: ribosomal RNA, 662 nt
Filed under: Leifsonia sp. CIK521
Lineage: Bacteria; Bacillati; Actinomycetota; Actinomycetes; Micrococcales; Microbacteriaceae
Description: bacterial SSU rRNA
Rfam family: Bacterial small subunit ribosomal RNA
Source: RNAcentral